CUAUACAUGCAGUCGAGCGAACUGAUUAGAAGCUUGCUUCUAUGACGUUAGCGGCGGACGGGUGAGUAACACGUGGGCAACCUGCCUGUAAGACUGGGAUAACUCCGGGAAACCGGAGCUAAUACCGGAUAACAUUUUUUCUUGCAUAAGAGAAAAUUGAAAGAUGGUUUCGGCUAUCACUUACAGAUGGGCCCGCGGUGCAUUAGCUAGUUGGUGAGGUAACGGCUCACCAAGGCAACGAUGCAUAGCCGACCUGAGAGGGUGAUCGGCCACACUGGGACUGAGACACGGCCCAGACUCCUACGGGAGGCAGCAGUAGGGAAUCUUCCGCAAUGGACGAAAGUCUGACGGAGCAACGCCGCGUGAGUGAUGAAGGCUUUCGGGUCGUAAAACUCUGUUGUUAGGGAAGAACAAGUACAAGAGUAACUGCUUGUACCUUGACGGUACCUAACCAGAAAGCCACGGCUAACUACGUGCCAGCAGCCGCGGUAAUACGUAGGUGGCAAGCGUUAUCCGGAAUUAUUGGGCGUAAAGCGCGCGCAGGCGGUUUCUUAAGUCUGAUGUGAAAGCCCACGGCUCAACCGUGGAGGGUCAUUGGAAACUGGGGAACUUGAGUGCAGAAGAGAAAAGCGGAAUUCCACGUGUAGCGGUGAAAUGCGUAGAGAUGUGGAGGAACACCAGUGGCGAAGGCGGCUUUUUGGUCUGUAACUGACGCUGAGGCGCGAAAGCGUGGGGAGCAAACAGGAUUAGAUACCCUGGUAGUCCACGCCGUACACGAUGAGUGCUAAGUGUUAGAGGGUUUCCGCCCUUUAGUGCUGCAGCUAACGCAUUAAGCACUCCGCCUGGGGAGUACGGUCGCAAGACUGAAACUCAAAGGAAUUGACGGGGGCCCGCACAAGCGGUGGAGCAUGUGGUUUAAAUUCGAAGCGACGCGAAGAACCUUACCAGGUCUUGACAUCCUCUGACAACUCUAGAGAUAGAGCGUUCCCCCUUCGGGGG
RNAcentral lists this ribosomal RNA (999 nucleotides) under Priestia flexa. Its description in RNAcentral is "bacterial SSU rRNA". It matches the Rfam family "Bacterial small subunit ribosomal RNA", at positions 49 to 1026 of the family's 1533-position model. Lineage: Bacteria; Bacillati; Bacillota; Bacilli; Caryophanales; Bacillaceae. The record is from RNAcentral.